UCCUACGGGGGGCAGCAGUGGGGGAUAUUGCACAAUGGGGGAAACCCUGAUGCAGCGACGCCGCGUGGACGAAGAAGUAUUUCGGUAUGUAAAGUCCUAUCAGCAGGGAAGAAGAAAUGACGGUACCUGGCUAAGACGCCCCGGCUAACUACGUGCCAGCAGCCGCGGCAAUACGUAGGGGGCAAGCGUUAUCCGGAUUUACUGGGUGUAAAGGGAGUGUAGACGGCGAUGCAAGUCUGAAGUGAAAGCCCGGGGCUCAACCCCGGGCCUGC
Molecule: ribosomal RNA, 272 nt
Filed under: uncultured bacterium
Lineage: Bacteria
Description: partial 16S ribosomal RNA
Rfam family: Bacterial small subunit ribosomal RNA
Source: RNAcentral